GAUCCUGGCUUAGGACGAACGCUGGCGGCGUGCCUAACACAUGCAAGUCGAACGGACUGAUUCCUUCGGGAAUGAAAGUUAGUGGCGGACGGGUGAGUAACGCGUGAGCAACCUGCCUUUCAGAGGGGAAUAACGUUUGGAAACAGACGCUAAUACCGCAUAACGCAUAGGUGUCGCAUGGCAUUUAUGCCAAAGGAGCAAUCCGCUGAAAGAUGGGCUCGCGUCCGAUUAGAUAGUUGGUGGGGUAACGGCCUACCAAGUCGACGAUCGGUAGCCGGACUGAGAGGUUGAACGGCCACAUUGGGACUGAGACACGGCCCAGACUCCUACGGGAGGCAGCAGUGGGGGAUAUUGCACAAUGGGCGAAAGCCUGAUGCCAGCAACGCCGCGUGAGGGAUGACGGUUUUCGGAUUGUAAACCUCUGUCUUUGGUGACGAACAAAUGACGGUAGCCGAGGAGGAAGCCACGGCUAACUACGUGCCAGCAGCUGC
RNAcentral lists this ribosomal RNA (491 nucleotides) under uncultured bacterium. Its description in RNAcentral is "bacterial SSU rRNA". It matches the Rfam family "Bacterial small subunit ribosomal RNA", at positions 15 to 518 of the family's 1533-position model. The record is from RNAcentral.